ACGAAGGUCCCGAGCGUUGUUCGGAAUCACUGGGCGUAAAGGGAGCGUAGGCGGCGUGGUAAGUCAGACGUGAAAUCCCGGGGCUCAACCCCGGAACUGCGUCCGAUACUGCCAUGCUUUGAGGGUUGGAGAGGUAGCUGGAAUUCUUGGUGUAGCAGUGAAACGCGUGGAUAUCAAGAGGAACACUCGUGGCGAAAGCGAGCUACUGGACAACACCUGACGCUGAGGCUCGAAGGCCAGGGGAGCGAAAGGGA
This 254-nucleotide ribosomal RNA is filed under the name uncultured prokaryote. Its description in RNAcentral is "partial 16S ribosomal RNA". It matches the Rfam family "Bacterial small subunit ribosomal RNA", at positions 525 to 777 of the family's 1533-position model. The record is from RNAcentral.